This 274-nucleotide long non-coding RNA is filed under the name Lathyrus oleraceus (garden pea). Its description in RNAcentral is "Pisum sativum (pea) long non-coding RNA (PSAT_LNC009830)". Lineage: Eukaryota; Viridiplantae; Streptophyta; Magnoliopsida; Fabales; Fabaceae. The record is from RNAcentral.
UUUCUAUAUUCCCAUCCCUCUUCAUCUCCAUCCCUAUUAUUUUCCAUUCUCUCAUUUGACCAAUGAAAUCUCUAAUGUCCAAAGGCUAAUUGAUUCAUCAAUGACCUUGUGUCAGAUGAAUCAAUACAAGUAUGACUGAGAUAGGUCCAUCCCUUUUGAUUUUUUUAUUUUAGUGUGUGGUAUGUUUUAGGAGUUUGGUUCUUCAUACCGAAUCUCUAAUAGGAAUUAACACCUAUAUUGUUCGGUCUCAGAUAGUUGUGACUUCUACAUAAGU